Molecule: small RNA, 3102 nt
Filed under: Pongo abelii (Sumatran orangutan)
Lineage: Eukaryota; Metazoa; Chordata; Mammalia; Primates; Hominidae
Description: processed transcript
Source: RNAcentral
ACGGAAGUGCCUGGAAGCGGAAGCGCCUGGAAGCGGAAGCUGGACAGACGAGGAGAGGCCUUGGGUGUGACAUCAACGGAAGCUGAGGGAAGCAAAACUCAGCAAGGACGCACCCGGUCUGCUGGCCUGGGGCUUUGGGUUGGUGACGUGGACGAUGAGUCUAAUUUUGGGGCAUCCGAGCAGUUGUGCAGUGGUCAGUGGGGUGCAGGGGUGGACGUGAAGUCAACCCACGCUGGCCUCAGAGCCCCAGCGACCUGCAGGCAGGUCAGGAGCCAGAGGCUGGGGCGGGGGCGGAGGAGGCCACGGGAGGAACAGGGAAAGGUCGGGGGAAGCACAGGCGGGCCCCUCUUUCCAGAUUCCCUCCUUUAAGAGGGCGGGGAGAAGAAAGGCCCCAGCAGGCAGCGAGCUCAGGCGCCCUCGCCUCGCCUCGCCUCUUCUUUCCUCUUCCUAUGAAGAGCGAGACAGGGGAAGGAGCGGGGGAUUCCUCGCUGGCUCCAGGAGGUGGGGCAGCAGGGGCCUGGGAGUGAAGGCGCUGUGAGGCCCGACAACCUCCUUUCUGCCCAGACAGGAAACCCGAACCCUCCCACACCCGCCUGUGCUGAGGUGCUGCCCCCACCUGAAGAGGGAGGAGGGCAGCCAAGGCCUGGGAGGCGGGAUGGAGCCUCCCUUUAGGGGAGUGAGCAUUUCCUCCUGGGAAUCUGCGUGUUUCCAAGAAUCAGAACUGACCAAGAAAACUAUCCCCGAGCUCAGGAAAGCCAGGGAGAACAGUGGCCCCUGCGCCAGGCCUGCGAUUUCCACAGGACCCAGUGGCAUGGCAGGAGAUUGCCUAAUUUCUGGUUCUUCAGUUCUUUUCCAAAAAUCCCAUUUGUUUUAUAUAUUAUUUUAUGUGGUGUGUAUGUGUGUGUAUGUUUCUGUUCCAGCUGAAAAAAUUCCCUUUACAAACAUGUCCAAAGCCUCUGUACCCAAGAGGUUGAAAAUUAAAUAAAAUAGGCGUGUCCAACUCCCACUCUCCCGUCUGCAGGCACAACCCGAAGCCUGGAAUAAGUCACUAGCCCAUCACUGUCUCCCAAGACACGAACCUGAGAUGGAAGUGCUUGGGAAGCUGCUGUGAGAGACACAGUCCCCAAGAAUGAGGCUGGGAGGCUGCUUUCUUCUGUCAUGUUCACCCCCGACAUGCACACAUCCUUGUGCGCUCGCUCGCGUGCUCUCUGUCAACAAAACCUCCCCCAGCAUCUUUCCUGGUGACUCCCGACUGCUUCUGCCCCCUCCCGGUGGACCAGUUUCUCUCCCGUUCACAGCAUCCUAGCCCACCCCCGUCUCCCAACUUUCUUGAAAGGGGACUGACGGUGCCUAGAGCCUUGGAGAGGACACAGGGAAAGAACUCUCCUCCUGAAUUUUGACUUUGUGCCCAGAAGCACAGGUUUUGGAGAGAAUCAAGUCUGGGGCAGACCAUGAUGUCAGGAGAUGGAGACCAUCCUGGCUAACACAGUGAAACCCUGUCUGUACUAAAAAAUACAAAGAAUUAGCCGGGCGUGGCGGCAGGCGCCUGUACUCGGGAGGCUGAGGCAGGAGAAUGGCGUGAACCCAGGAGGCGGAGCUUGCAGUGAGCCGAGAUCGUGCCACUGCACUCCAGCCUGGGCGACAGAGCCAAACUCCGUCUCAAAAAAAAAAAAAAAAAAAAAGGCCAAGGCUGGCGAAUCAUGAGGUCAGGAGAUCGAGACCAUCCUGGCUAACACGGUGAAACCCCGUCUCUACUAAAAAAUACAAAAAAUUAGCCGGGCAUGGUGACGGCCACCUGUAGUCCCAGCUACUUGGGAGGCGGAGCUUGCAGUGAGCCGAGAUCGUGCCACUGCACUCCAGCCUGGGCGACAGAGCCAGACUCCAUCUCAAAAAAAAAAAAAUGAAAGCUCACUGAAAUCAACGGUGUGGGGUACUUUCUGAAACGUGUUUCUUAUUUAGCCUUUCAGGUUGCCCGAGAGCAAAGAAAAGCGGUAUCAGGAUAGCACAGAGCAAAGAAGAUAAAGAAGAUCAAGAGCCCAUCAGGUGUCCGGUCCCCGGGUGCGACGGCCAGGGCCACAUCACUGGGAAGUACGCGUCCCAUCGCAGCGCCUCCGGGUGCCCCUUGGCGGCCAAGAGGCAGAAAGACGGAUACCUGAAUGGCUCCCAGUUCUCCUGGAAGUCGGUCAAGACGGAAGGCAUGUCCUGCCCCACGCCAGGGUGCGACGGUUCAGGCCACGUCAGCGGCAGCUUCCUCACACACCGAAGGAGCUGAGGCCCCCAUGGGGAGCUGAGGACAAGGUGGCCGUGUGCAGCCCCUCUGGAGCACGGCGUCUGCAGGGACCCCUGGGUGCUGCCAACAACAGGGGUCCACCCUGGGACGGAACCAACUGGCAGGACCCCGGGGUCCUCUGGUCUACUUCUCACCCUACAAUGCAGGCCCCAGGCCCCCAGCCGGGCAGUGAGGCCCUGUACAUACACUGGGGCAUAGGAACGGGACAGGGCCACCCCCCCUGGGGGGCCACAGCUGUCACUCUGUGCUCACUCAGUGGCCUUGAAAGAAGCGCCUGAAGCGAGAGAACAUGGGUGACGGGGUUUCCCCGAAGUCAAGUCAAAGCAGCCAACGUGCACCGUGUCCAUCCUCAUUUUAUGCGCCUUCGUCUUGGCGUAGCCUCAGCAGCUGCUUUUGGCUGCGGCUUUUAAGCUGUGAAAGUAUUUGCUGGGAAUGUCCUUGGCUCCUCACGCAGCACCUCCUCCCUGUUAGGCUGAUUUCUCUGCUGGAUCUAAAACAGGAGGGAGGAAGCAUCGUGAGUGGCGCUGGGGGCUUGAGCGGCUCCUCCCUCUCUCCUCUGGGGGUGCCCACCAGGGCCCAAAGCUUCUGGGAACCCAGCGGGGAGCUCUGCUCCUAAGCCAGGAAUUGCCAGGCACCACACAACUGCUGUCCGCGGGGCCUGUCCAGUUUCCCCAAGUGCUUCUGCUUCAUUUGCUAAUCCAUACAGCGUAGCUCAGAAUGAUCGCUUGCCUUGGGUCCCCAAACACUACCCGAGCUGGAAAGUGCUUGUGUGAUGUGUUAGUAAUGGAUAAUACAAAAUUUUUAACAUGGGA